Pieris rapae (cabbage white) is the source of this 233-nucleotide long non-coding RNA. RefSeq lists it as uncharacterized. The record is from RefSeq and is a predicted model, not a curated record. Lineage: Eukaryota; Metazoa; Arthropoda; Insecta; Lepidoptera; Pieridae. The transcript is spliced from 2 exons.
UAUGUGGUUAAUUUAUUGAGAUUUGUAGUUUACAUUGCUCUACGAUGAAAAUUAUAGAAAACAAAAAGUGUCUCGUAUUCAGGAUUCCCUGUCUCGGUGUAGGCUCUUCCAUUUGACCCGAGUCAUAAAGUUGUUGCAAUAAUAUUUAAAAUACAAAUUAAACGGAUAGAGCGAAGUGGAGGCAGCAAGUCGAUCCUGUGAAGCCUGCAAUGUACCCAGAAAACUUUUAAGCU